UUUAUACUCCCUCCAUCACAAAUUUUUUGUCUUAGAUUAGUCUAGAUACAGAUGUAUGCAAUACCAAAACAUGACUUGAUACAUCCGUAUUUAGACAAAUCUAAGACAAGAAUUUUGGGACGGAGGGAGUAUUUC
Molecule: non-coding RNA, 135 nt
Organism: Triticum aestivum (bread wheat)
Lineage: Eukaryota; Viridiplantae; Streptophyta; Magnoliopsida; Poales; Poaceae
Source: Rfam